GGGCAGUAGAGUGCAGCUAGAGGAGCAGUCACGGGCGUUACCCUCCCACGGGGCCCGGGCGGGCGUCCGGGGACCUCCUGGGACUCGGUGGCGCGGACGACCUUCUCCCCAGAGAGACAGAGCAGCAGCGACCCUGAGGGGCCCUUCUGGGCCAUGAGGGCGCGAGGCUUUCUUGAAAACAGAGCAGCCUCUGCUUACCCUGCAGGCGCUCUGGAGCUGCAGGAGGCCGUUUCCAGAAAGCACCGGAUUCAGCCUAAAGCAGUGCUCUAGGGUGUGCCAGGUACCCAGCUCACAGAGUUGAAGGCCACAGCCCUUCUUUGAGGAAUUCCGGGUCUGGUGGAGAAGCGGACCACGUGUACUUGACCACCACACACCUAUGUGAGCAGCAGCUCAGGAAGGAACACGGGGGCCAGCGAGGUAUGAGGCCACUCUUCUGGCUCUAACGCCCUAAGCAUUUAGUCUGGCCACCUCUAACACAGCCACAUCAAGCCCUCAGUCCCACCCUUACUGGGUCCAGAAUACCUGUGCAAAGCCACAUCCUUUUUCCUCUUUUAUCUGGCAGAGGCUCAUUCCUCUCCAUGUUUCAACGCCCAACCCAGAUGUUGCCUCCUCUGAGAAGCCACACUGAUUUUCCUGGUGAUUCUGGGACAGAUUUGUGGCUCCUGCUCAUUGGGCCUGCAGCUAGCAGUGCCACCAUUCCAGCGGCACCAUGUUGUACCUGGAUGGCCACGGAUCUCCCCAUAACUCACUUAUGCCCUUGUGGUCAGUUCAGGCCACUGCAGUCUGCGUGAUCUGAAAGCAGUAGUAGUAGUAGUAGCAGCAGCAGCAGCAGCAGCGGCGGCGGCGGCGGCGGCGGCGGCGGCGGCGGCGGCGACUUUUGGUACUAUUUCAAAAAGUAGGUGGGGUGUGGUGGCUCAGGUCUGUAAUCCCAGCACUUUGGGAGGCCAAGG
Molecule: non-coding RNA, 950 nt
Organism: Macaca mulatta (Rhesus monkey)
Lineage: Eukaryota; Metazoa; Chordata; Mammalia; Primates; Cercopithecidae
Source: RefSeq, a predicted model, not a curated record